GAUGAACGCUGGCGGCAGGCCUAACGCAUGCAAGUCGAGGGGGAAGUUCCUUUCGGGUGGCUGAGACCGGCUUACGGGUGCGUAACUCGUAUACAAUCUACCUUUCACUGGGGUGUAGCUCGCAGCAGUUUAGUUUAAUACCCAAUGGUAAAUAGCGCCGGCAUCGUUUUUAUAGUAAAGCAUAGUUGGUGAAAGGUGAGUGUGUGUUCUAUUAGCUAGUUGGAGAGGUAGCGGCUGCCCAAGGCGAUGAUAGCUAGGGGUUCUGAGAGGGAUGUGCCCGACAGGGGGACUGGGAUACGUGCGAGAGUGAUACGGGAGGGAGUAGUGAGGGAUACAGGAGAAUGGUAGGAAGACUGAUGCAGCGAUGCCGCGUACAGGAUGAACGCGUUAGGGAAUGUAAACUUCGGUUGGAAGGGAAGAAUAAGCGGUACGCGUAGGUUGGUGACGGUACCUGAUGAAGAAGCACCGGCUAACUACGUG
RNAcentral lists this ribosomal RNA (480 nucleotides) under uncultured bacterium. RNAcentral's name for it is "partial 16S ribosomal RNA". It matches the Rfam family "Bacterial small subunit ribosomal RNA", at positions 28 to 507 of the family's 1533-position model. The record is from RNAcentral.